GACACUUCUCUCACAGAGAGAGAGGAAAAAGAAGGAGGAGGAGGAGGAAGAGGAAGAGGAGAAAAUUGCAGUACCUCUUAUGACCUGGUCUCCUAGUCAUCCACCAUCAUUUCCGCUGUAUUCUAUUUGUCAGAAGUGAAAAUCCUAGAAUGGCAGAGGGAAGAAAUCCUCUUUCUGUAAUUCCAGAAGAAUUCCACAGUGGGAGCCAUUUUCAAGGAUGCGGCCUUGAGUGAGCAAUGUGUUGCUGAGACCAUCUGGACUGAAUAUGUGACUGAACCCAGGGAAGGCCUCUGCAUAGACUGUUAAGAUUCUGGCAGGCAGAUGCAGAGAUCCACUUGUCUUACGGCCGCCCAGGACAAGCCUCGUAUACUACCUCCCACCUUGGAUGUGAACCUGAGGCCCGGGAUGGGGUGGGGAGCCUGCCACUCUUGCCGGCAACCGUUAAGACAAGCAUGAAGAUAAAAUCCAGGAAGCUAAGCAUGGAAGAGGGAAAGCAGACAGAGCCAGGAGCCCUGGGGCAUUGGUGAGCAGCCAGACUGCCCACGCUGGACCUCUGAUUAUCAAAGGGAUGAAUCUCUAUCCUGUGAAGAGCAUAGCUGCUGAUCAUCCCAAAACUGGAGCCAUCUUAAUGUGAACAACAGCUUUCCUCCCCGUAAUGCCCGUGCCAGCCAUUGAGCCACCCAGGAGGAUCUGGGGAGCCCCAAGUCUCCAAAGCAGAAACAAAAGGGAAGACUUGUCCGAGAUUACCUUAGUAAUAAGCAGCUAAUUAUAAUAUUAAUUUGCAUAAUACCCUCCCUUUUAGCAGUGAUUUCACUGCGAAAACCAAGUGGUAUUAAUGAAAAAAAAAUUGUUUCCAGCUGCCUAAGCCCAGAGGCUAAUCCAGGAAUUGAUGCCCUUGCAACAAUGACCAUAAGAUCUCCUUGUGGGCAGAGCCUCUGAAGGCCUGUUUGGGCAGCUAACCCUUCUUUUGAGCGCUCUUUUUUACCUUCAGUGGUUGAGACUGAGGUCUUAAAACUGCUCCUGCCAAUGACAACCAAAGUUACCUGCCAGAGCAGAAAGAAACAAAAGAAAAGGAAAAUCUUAAAUUAUGCGUUCCCUUCUUUAGAAUGGGCCUGUGGUUGGGGGCUGGCAUAUGGGCAUCAGUGGAUGAAACUGGAGAAGGUGGAAGUGUUCAUGUGAAAAAAAAUGGUUCAACAAUUUCUUAUAAAGUUAAACCCUAUGACUCAGCAAAUCUACUCCUGGGUAUGUACCUAUGAGAAAUGAAGCAUAUGUUCACCAAAAGACUUGUAAAAGAAUGUUUGGAGCACUUUAUUUUUCAUAGCCUCAAACUGAAAACAAACCGAAUGUCCAUUACCAGGAGGGUGGAAGAA
This 1370-nucleotide long non-coding RNA is filed under the name Equus caballus (horse). RNAcentral's name for it is "lncRNA (ENSECAG00000059992.1)". Lineage: Eukaryota; Metazoa; Chordata; Mammalia; Perissodactyla; Equidae. The record is from RNAcentral.